This 300-nucleotide ribosomal RNA is filed under the name uncultured Ureaplasma sp. RNAcentral describes it as "partial 16S ribosomal RNA". The stretch from base 52 to 300 matches the Rfam family "Bacterial small subunit ribosomal RNA", at positions 547 to 795 of the family's 1533-position model. Lineage: Bacteria; Bacillati; Mycoplasmatota; Mycoplasmoidales; Mycoplasmoidaceae. The record is from RNAcentral.
GAAAGCGGGGGGCGGGGUGGGGGGAUAAUACAGUGGGGGGGGUGGUGAUUUGGAUGUAAUGGGCGUAAAGGGCGGGUAGGUGGCUAAUUAAGUCAAAGGUGAAAUCCCCGAGCUUAACUUGGGAAUUGCAGUCGAUACUGGUUGGCUAGAGUAUGGGAGAGGAUGGUAGAAGUCCAGGUGUAGCGGUGAAAUGCGUAGAGAUCUGGAGGAAUACCGAUGGCGAAGGCAGCCAUCUGGCCUAAUACUGACACUGAGGUGCGAAAGCAUGGGGAGCAAACAGGAUUAGAUACCCGAGUAGUC